Zalophus californianus (California sea lion) is the source of this 711-nucleotide long non-coding RNA. RefSeq lists it as uncharacterized. The transcript has 4 exons. The record is from RefSeq and is a predicted model, not a curated record. NCBI's taxonomy places the organism in Eukaryota, Metazoa, Chordata, Mammalia, Carnivora, Otariidae.
CGCUGCCAUCUGCUGGGGUUGGCCCACAUGGCACCCGGGUGGUGAUGCCGGCACGCCAGGUCUGCAGUCCCAGAGGGGGUCCCGCAGGACCAGCCAAGAGGUUAUCAGGCUGCUCCCAGGAUAGAAAUCCAAGAGCUGCUCGCCCCAUCGAAGGCCAAAAUGAGCGUGAGCUGGAACCCUGCCUUUUCUUAUUUAAACGGCACCGGGGAUACGGCAGUAAGCAAACCCACCCCUGCUCUCCCGGAUCUUCCGUUCUGGAGAGGAACCCAUGAGACAGAGGAUCACAUGGCAUCAUCAGAUGUCACUGUGCACCAGAAGAAAACGAAGCAGGGAGCGGCCCUCACAGAGGCCAGCAUGGCAUGAGGCCCAUUUGGAUCCCAAAGGUUACCUCUGUCCUCUGAAGCAUACAAAACUCCAUUUCAACUGCAGCCUUCCAGAGAAUAACCCUGACCAAUGGAGCCCAGGUGGACACCAGCCCUAAUUAUCGUCUUUCUGAUAAAGAUUGCUGGAAGCUCAAAAUGCCUGACAAGAGGUGCCAGGAGGCAGAGGGACAAGCCAGCCAACAGAGGAAGUCACCCAGAAACCCAGGGAGUUGAAAUCCCUUCUCAAGGGCUUGGUUUCAAAAAACAAAUGUUUUGGGGCACCUGGGUGGCUCAGUCGUUAAGCGUCUGCCUUCGGCUCAGGUCAUGAUCCCAGGGUCCUGGGAUCGAG